AGAAGGCUUCCACGGCUUUGGUCGUUCGGGGGCCUUUUUCUUUUAC
RNAcentral lists this non-coding RNA (46 nucleotides) under Shinella granuli. The record is from RNAcentral. Lineage: Bacteria; Pseudomonadati; Pseudomonadota; Alphaproteobacteria; Hyphomicrobiales; Rhizobiaceae.